Molecule: long non-coding RNA, 1905 nt
Organism: Peromyscus californicus insignis
Lineage: Eukaryota; Metazoa; Chordata; Mammalia; Rodentia; Cricetidae
Exons: 4
Source: RefSeq, a predicted model, not a curated record
UCUACUAAUUCUACAGUGAAGAAUCAGACAGAGAGCACUGAUACAAUUCACAUAAGGCCCCAAAGUUGAUAAGCCUAGGAGAGGCAAAAUUUUUAGCUCAGGUUUAGUGGCCCCAUAGCCCAUGGUCUGCAACAACUCCUUCGCCAUCUUCCAGCAGCAAAUCUAAUAGGAAGUUCAACCAUAGCUGCAAAGGUCUUCAAACUCUCCCCUCCGUCACACACUGGGGCUCCUCCUUAGCACUUGGCCAGCAAGUGCUUUUCACUCAGGGUGUAAGAAGCUUGUUCAUGUCCAGCUAUCAAGUACACAUCCCAGCUGACAAAAUGGACACCCCUUGACAACUGGGUGAGGACAACAUGCGUCCUCAACUCCCAGUGACCAUACAGCUGCCCGUCGCUCCAAAGGAUGCUGGGGAAGGUGGUCUUGUUGCAAGAAGUCAUCUUCAGCGAAGCUGAAAAAGUGAUUCUGAAUCCAGCCAAGUUGAGGGUGAAGAUUACCAACCAUCACAGAGAUCUACAAAAUUUGAUCUGUCCCUACUGCUUUCAUGGGAGCCCCCGCAACACCCAUGAUCAACGUCAAUGUCACUCUGAAUGCGAACUCAACUCACAAUUGUGACUCCUCAUGUCUGAAAGCCACAGAGGUCCAUAUGUUUUCGAGCUCCCCGAGGCCUUUCCCCAGCCCUCCUGCUGAAAGCCCACACAGAUCACAGUCCACACCUCAUUCAUCCAUUCGGUCUUUGUUGGAUUGUCUGCCCUUCCUGUUAAUGUUGUGAAAUGGCUGGAGAGGCUUUGGCGGGUUUGGACCAAGGAGCCCCUCAGCAGGACUGUAGAAUUGUGAGAAGGCUGAUUCUGGCAUGGUAUUCAAGAUACAGUAGGCGAACAGGAGUGCCGUGGUUCGAGGUUCAUGCUGAAACUUAUCCCCAUUGUGUGAUAUUAAGAGAGCGGAAACCUGAUCUGACAGUCCUUGGAGGUGGGACAUUUGGAAGCUAAGGUGAAAUGAAUCAAGUGGUGGGGCCCUCCCUUCUCCAACAGAACUAUGGCUUUAGAGCACAGGUUAGACUUGAGCGCACACAUUCGCAUUCAGUCCUUCCCACUGCGUGAUGGACUCCACCGUGUCCUGACUCACCACAAAGACUCUCAACAGAUGUCAAACCGAUACCAGCACCACUCUCUGUGGGGUACCCUGUACCCCCACACCCCUAGUUUCAACUCUUACUUGUCACAUAAGCUCCAAGCAUAUUCAUGACACCUGAGGAGAUUAUAGAUUAUCUCUUCGCUCCUUUCAGCAUCAGAGCCUUGGCUAGGCCUGCCCUGGUACCUCCCAAUGCACAGGUGUAUGCAAACAUAAAGUGACACACUGUGGGGUGGUCUUUCUGUACGCUGCGAAUAUGUGUUGCUACCACUGGUUAAUAAAGAAGCUGCUAUGGCCUAUGGCAAGGCAGAAUAGAGCCAGGCGGGGAAAUCCAAGGAGAAGAUGGAGUCAGAGGAGACAUGGAGCUCUGCAGGAAAUGGGGAGGGGAGCAAGAUGUAACGGAAUGCAGGUAAUGCCAGGAAGCCACGUGGCAAAACAUAGUUUAAUAGAAAUGGGUUGAAUUAAGUUGUAAGAGCUAGUUAAUGAUAACCCUGAGCCACAGGCCAAACAGUUUGUAAUUAAUAUAAGUCUCUGUGUGUUUACUUGGGACCAAGCGGCUGCGGGACACAGGAAAACUUCCGAGGCCAGUAAUAUGUGACCAGAUAAAGGGCCAGUGAUCUCACAGCCAAGCUUUAAAUGAUGGCAAUGGCUUCUGCAGGACAAGGAUCCUUUUCUCUUUUGUCUGCUGAGAGGGAGUUCUACACUCUCUGCGUUUUCUAUUGCUGUAAUCACUUACCUUGUAGAGCUUUUAAGAUGAUGCAACAAUACAUCAUUGCA